Molecule: ribosomal RNA, 477 nt
Filed under: uncultured bacterium
Lineage: Bacteria
Description: partial 16S ribosomal RNA
Rfam family: Bacterial small subunit ribosomal RNA
Source: RNAcentral
AUUGAACGCUGGCGGCAUGCCUUACACAUGCAAGUCGAACGGUAACAGGUUAAGCUGACGAGUGGCGAACGGGUGAGUAAUGUAUCGGAACGUGCCCAGUCGUGGGGGAUAACUGCUCGAAAGAGCAGCUAAUACCGCAUACGACCUGAGGGUGAAAGCGGGGGAUCGCAAGACCUCGCGCGAUUGGAGCGGCCGAUAUCCGAUUAGGUAGUUGGUGAGGUAAAGGCUCACCAAGCCGACGAUCUGUAGCUGGUCUGAGAGGACGACCAGCCACACUGGGACUGAGACACGGCCCAGACUCCUACGGGAGGCAGCAGUGGGGAAUGUUGGACAAUGGGCGCAAGCCUGAUCCAGCCAUGCCGCGUGCGGGAAGAAGGCCUUCGGGUUGUAAACCGCUUUUGUCAGGGAAGAAAAGGUUCUGGCUAAUACCUGGGACUCACGACGGUACCUGAAGAAUAAGCACCGGCUAACUACGUG